CAGACAGAUAAUGCUAGAGCC
RNAcentral lists this microRNA (21 nucleotides) under Glycine max (soybean). RNAcentral describes it as "gma-miR10439". Lineage: Eukaryota; Viridiplantae; Streptophyta; Magnoliopsida; Fabales; Fabaceae. The record is from miRBase by way of RNAcentral.